This 757-nucleotide ribosomal RNA is filed under the name Spirochaetales bacterium enrichment culture clone SGLB4-48. RNAcentral's name for it is "bacterial SSU rRNA". It matches the Rfam family "Bacterial small subunit ribosomal RNA", at positions 28 to 774 of the family's 1533-position model. Lineage: Bacteria; Pseudomonadati; Spirochaetota; Spirochaetia; Spirochaetales. The record is from RNAcentral.
AACAAACGCUGGCGGCGUGUCUUAAGCAUGCAAGUCGAGCGGCAGGCGCAGCAAUGCGCUGAGAGCGGCGGACUGGUGAGUAACGCGUGGGUAAUCUACCUUUGGCAUGGGGAUAGCCACUAGAAAUAGUGGGUAAUACCGAAUACGUUCCCUGGGGGGAGGUUUCAGGGAAGAAAGGGUGCUACGGCACCGGCCGGAGAUGAGCUCGCGUCCCAUUAGCUCGUUGGUGAGGUAACGGCCCACCAAGGCGAUGAUGGGUAGCCGGCCUGAGAGGGUGUACGGCCACACUGGGACUGAGAUACGGCCCAGACUCCUACGGGAGGCAGCAGCUAAGAAUAUUCCGCAAUGGACGAAAGUCUGACGGAGCGACGCCGCGUGGAUGAUGAAGGCCGAAAGGUUGUAAAGUCCUUUUGCUGGGGAAGAAUAAGUGUGGGAGGGAAUGCCCGCAUGAUGACAUGAACCGGCGAAUAAGCCCCGGCCAACUACGUGCCAGCAGCCGCGGUAACACGUAGGGGGCGAGCGUUGUUCGGAAUUACUGGGCGUAAAGGGCAUGUAGGCGGUCUGGUAAGCCUGGCGUGAAAGGCCACGGCUCAACCGUGGGAUUGCGUUGAGAACUGCGAGGCUUGAGUGACGGAGAGGGAGCUAGAAUUCCUGGUGUAGGGGUGGAAUCUGUAGAGAUCAGGAAGAAUACCAAUGGCGAAAGGCAAGCUCCUGGCCGAUGACUGACGCUGAGGUGCGAAAGUGUGGGGAUCAAACA